Juglans regia (Persian walnut) is the source of this 1294-nucleotide long non-coding RNA. RefSeq lists it as uncharacterized. The transcript has 2 exons. The record is from RefSeq and is a predicted model, not a curated record. Lineage: Eukaryota; Viridiplantae; Streptophyta; Magnoliopsida; Fagales; Juglandaceae.
CAAUCCUUUUCUAUACUGUUGGGAAUGCUAGCAAAAUGCUUUUGGGUGGUUAUGAAGUGGCAUCAAAUUUAUUUGAAUGCCUUGCAGUUUCACCCCGAAAAUCUGAGUUACAUUUGGACUUUAAUCAUCGAUCUUUGUGUUUAAUGGUUUUGUUGCUGUGAAUGCUGAUGGCAAACUAUGCUAUUGGUUCUACUUGUGGCCAAUUACCUACCAAGUUAGGAGGUGAUAACUGCAAGUGUAAUUUUUGUGGUUUGUAUUUCUGCAUCUCACCUUCUAUGAAAAAUGAGAAAGAAGGAAAUUGAUCUACUUAUCUACUCUUCCUUAACGCUAGUUUCUCUCUCUUCCCCAAACUUUUACCUAUCUGGUUGUGUCCAUCUCUAUACAAGUCACUCUACCAAAUUGAUGGUACCAAUCUGUGUUGAAAAAGAUGCUUCUGUAAUUGUGGUGUUCCUGACCUGGAAGCUUGAACUAAUUGGUGGAGAAACAUCUUUUUUGGGUACAUAUAAAUCGGAUCUGGUCGCUAUUGCAACUAUAAGUACUGCAUUUUAAAGCAUCGGUAAGUUGAUGUUUCCCAAUGGUUCAGUGUGUAAGAGACGCAGAUUCUACCUUGUUGACUGUAUUGAAAAGGUCUUGAGACUCCUUAUUUGAAAUUUUUGUUCCAGGCUUGUUGAUUUUGGACAUUUUGCGGAUUGCUCAUGUCUGGUUAAGGACACUGUACCUGGCAAAAGACUCUGCAACAUACAAGCACCAUAAAUUGAAGAGUGUAGGUGCUAUUCAAAGCCAGAAUACGUAACUCUAGAGUAGGUUGAGUCCUAUCAAGAAAAGAGUUCAUCCUGGCCAGUGGGCUGUACAAAAAGUUCUUACUUUAUGUUCCGGAUAGGGGUGAGCAAAUUUAUCAGACCCAAGGAUGACUCAUUGAUGAGAGUCGGUUGGCGAUGAGCAAUGGGUCAGCAUCUGUUUGGAACUUUUCUUAACGAAAUGGUUGGUACUGGGGAGGGGGGCUUGCACGUGUAUGUGGGUCACCAAGAAGUUAACUUGAGCUGUUAUGAUCUUGUAUGAAUCCUCAGAAUUUGGAUGUGGCUGUCAUGCUCUCUAUCUAGUCAUCUUCAAUCAUUGUAAGACAAAUCACUUCCUAAUUGUUUCUGGGGUCAGAUCUGGAAUUACUCAUCCCCGAUCCGUGUUCUGAAGUCUUAUGCCUUAUAGUGUCACAGCUUUCAGGGGCCUUGUAACCUUGCCUAGGCCAUUCAGGAUUCCAGGAAUUGUUGCAUAUUAUGUAGCUUAUACUUUUUUCCAA